RNAcentral lists this ribosomal RNA (460 nucleotides) under uncultured bacterium. RNAcentral's name for it is "partial 16S ribosomal RNA". It matches the Rfam family "Bacterial small subunit ribosomal RNA", at positions 338 to 795 of the family's 1533-position model. The record is from RNAcentral.
CCUACGGGUGGCAGCAGUGAGGAAUAUUGGUCAAUGGCCGGAAGGCUGAACCAGCCAUGCCGCGUGAAGGUCAGUGCCCUAUGGGCGUUAAACUUCUUUUGUGCGGGAGCAAUAAUGGUCACGUGUGGCCAGACGAGAGUACCGUACGAAUAAGCAUCGGCUAACUCCGUGCCAGCAGCCGCGGUAAUACGGGGGAUGCAAGCGUUAUCCGGAUUUAUUGGGUUUAAAGGGUGCGUAGGCUGUGAGGUAAGUCAGCGGUGAAAUGCCCCCGCUCAACGGGGUGAAGUGCCAUUGAUACUGCCUGGCUGGAGUGCGGAUGCGGUGGGAGGAAUGUGUGGUGUAGCGGUGAAAUGCAUAGAGAUCACACAGAACACCGAUUGCGAAGGCAUCUCACGAAUCCGCGAUUGACGCUGAUGCACGAAAGCGUGGGUAUCAAACAGGAUUAGAUACCCUGGUAGUC